AUUAAUAUGGAAGGGAGAAGAGCUUUAAUGAUUGGAGUCAUUUUCAGAGCAUUAAAGCUCUUCUCCCUUCCAUAUUAAU
This is a microRNA precursor of Homo sapiens (human), 79 nucleotides long. It matches the Rfam family "mir-3202 microRNA precursor family". The record is from Rfam. NCBI's taxonomy places the organism in Eukaryota, Metazoa, Chordata, Mammalia, Primates, Hominidae.